RNAcentral lists this small RNA (125 nucleotides) under Marmota monax (woodchuck). Lineage: Eukaryota; Metazoa; Chordata; Mammalia; Rodentia; Sciuridae. The record is from RNAcentral.
GCUGGGCACAGUGGCCGAUGCCUGUAAUCUCAGCAGCUUGGGAGGCUGGGGCAGGAGUAUCACAAGUUCAAAGCCAGCUUCAACAAAAGCGAGGCACUAACCAACUCAGUGAGACCCUGUCUCUA